UUGAAAGGGAAACGAUUGAAGUCGGUCGUCCGAGGGAGAUCAACUUUUCGAGGGCGAAUUUGUGGGCGUGCGUGACUGUUAAAGGCUCCUGUUUGCAAUUAGGUGGUUUUUGGGUGUACUUUUUCGGAUGGUAGGCCACCGUCAGGUUCGAUCACCAUAAAAUGAUUGGAGGAAUGUAGGUUUGAUCUCGUAUUGGAGGGGUAUAGCCUUUGGUAGAUGUGGUGGGCGAAACUGAGGUUGGAACGAAUACCCUUUGGGCUAUCCGUCUGACCUCUGAAGGUGGCUGGGUGGCCGAAAGCUUGCUUAUGGUAUUUAAGACGACGGUCAAAAGGUUAGAACGUGAUUACUUCGUUAAGGAUGUUGACGUA
RNAcentral lists this ribosomal RNA (368 nucleotides) under uncultured Glomeromycotina. Its description in RNAcentral is "LSU rRNA". The record is from RNAcentral. Lineage: Eukaryota; Fungi; Glomeromycota.